This 428-nucleotide ribosomal RNA is filed under the name uncultured bacterium. Its description in RNAcentral is "bacterial SSU rRNA". It matches the Rfam family "Bacterial small subunit ribosomal RNA", at positions 355 to 776 of the family's 1533-position model. The record is from RNAcentral.
UGGGGAAUUUUGCGCAAUGGGCGAAAGCCUGACGCAGCAACGCCGCGUGUGUGAUGAAGGUCUUAGGAUUGUAAAGCACUUUCGACCGAGACGAAAACCCGCUGGCUAAUAUCCAGCGGUUUGACUGUAUCGGGAGAAGAAGCACCGGCUAACUCUGUGCCAGCAGCCGCGGUAAUACAGAGGGUGCAAGCGUUGUUCGGAAUUAUUGGGCGUAAAGCGCGUGUAGGCGGCGAAGCAAGUCGGGUGUGAAAUCCCUCAGCUUAACUGAGGAAGUGCGCUCGAAACUGUUUUGCUUGAGUACCGGAGAGGGUGGCGGAAUUCCCCAAGUAGAGGUGAAAUUCGUAGAUAUGGGGAGGAACACCGGUGGCGAAGGCGGCCACCUGGACGGAUACUGACGCUGAGACGCGAAAGCGUGGGUAGCAAACAGG